GCAAGAGACAGAUAGACAGACAGGGAUAAGACAGAGCAUGGGAUGGACCAUUCAACAGAGGCAUGGAGCUGUUGUUGCUCUUCCCAUGCACUGCCUCUUCCCUGGCUCUCUCUCUCUUCCCUCC
RNAcentral lists this microRNA precursor (124 nucleotides) under Nelumbo nucifera (sacred lotus). RNAcentral describes it as "MIR408 microRNA precursor family". It matches the Rfam family "MIR408 microRNA precursor family". The record is from Rfam by way of RNAcentral. Lineage: Eukaryota; Viridiplantae; Streptophyta; Magnoliopsida; Proteales; Nelumbonaceae.